RNAcentral lists this transfer RNA (74 nucleotides) under Camelus bactrianus (Bactrian camel). It matches the Rfam family "tRNA". From Rfam's summary of the family: Transfer RNA (tRNA) molecules are approximately 80 nucleotides in length. Their secondary structure includes four short double-helical elements and three loops (D, anti-codon, and T loops). Further hydrogen bonds mediate the characteristic L-shaped molecular structure. tRNAs have two regions of fundamental functional importance: the anti-codon, which is responsible for specific mRNA codon recognition, and the 3' end, to which the tRNAs corresponding amino acid is attached (by aminoacyl-tRNA synthetases). tRNAs cope with the degeneracy of the genetic code in two manners: having more than one tRNA (with a specific anti-codon) for a particular amino acid; and 'wobble' base-pairing, i.e. permitting non-standard base-pairing at the 3rd anti-codon position. RNAcentral also lists the same sequence under 1 other name. The record is from Rfam by way of RNAcentral. Lineage: Eukaryota; Metazoa; Chordata; Mammalia; Artiodactyla; Camelidae.
GAGGGUAUAGCUUAGUGGUAGAGUGUGUACUUUUAGCAUACACAAGGUCCUGGGUUCAAUCCCCAGGACCUCCA